UACGUAGGCAGCGAGCGUUGUUCGGAAUUAUUGGGCGUAAAGGGCGCGUAGGCGGUGCGGUAAGUCUGUAGUGAAAUCUCUGGGCUCAACUCAGAGUCUGCUGCAGAAACUGCCGUGCUUGAGUGUGGGAGAGGUGAGUGGAAUUCCCGGUGUAGCGGUGAAAUGCGUAGAUAUCGGGAGGACACCUGUGGCGAAAGCGGCUCACUGGACCACAACUGACGCUGAGGCGCGAAAGCUAGGGGAGCAAACAGGGAUUAAGAAA
RNAcentral lists this ribosomal RNA (262 nucleotides) under uncultured bacterium. RNAcentral describes it as "partial 16S ribosomal RNA". It matches the Rfam family "Bacterial small subunit ribosomal RNA", at positions 524 to 784 of the family's 1533-position model. The record is from RNAcentral.